RNAcentral lists this ribosomal RNA (456 nucleotides) under uncultured Oxalobacteraceae bacterium. RNAcentral's name for it is "bacterial SSU rRNA". It matches the Rfam family "Bacterial small subunit ribosomal RNA", at positions 921 to 1382 of the family's 1533-position model. Lineage: Bacteria; Pseudomonadati; Pseudomonadota; Betaproteobacteria; Burkholderiales; Oxalobacteraceae. The record is from RNAcentral.
CCGCACAAGCGGUGGAUGAUGUGGAUUAAUUCGAUGCAACGCGAAAACCUUACCUACCCUUGACAUGUCAGGAAUCCUGAAGAGAUUUGGGAGUGCUCGAAAGAGAGCCUGAACACAGGUGCUGCAUGGCUGUCGUCAGCUCGGUGUCGUGAGAUGUUGGGUUAAGUCCCGCAACGAGCGCAACCCUUGCCAUUAGUUGCUACGAAAGGGCACUCUAAUGGGACUGCCGGUGACAAACCGGAGGAAGGUGGGAUGACGUCAAGUCCUCAUGGCCCUUAUGGGUAGGGCUUCACACGUCAUACAAUGGUACAUACAGAGGGCUGCUAAAUCGUGAGAUGGAGCCAAUCCCAGAAAGUGUAUCGUAGUCCGGAUUGAAGUCUGCAACUCGACUUCAUGAAGUUGGAAUCGCUAGUAAUCGCGGAUCAGCAUGUCGCGGUGAAUACGUUCCCGGGUCUU